GACGAACGCUGGCGGCGUGCCUAAUACAUGCAAGUAGAACGCUGAAGAGAGGAGCUUGCUCUUCUUGGAUGAGUUGCGAACGGGUGAGUAACGCGUAGGUAACCUGCCUUGUAGCGGGGGAUAACUAUUGGAAACGAUAGCUAAUACCGCAUAACAAUGGAUGACCCAUGUCAUUUAUUUGAAAGGGGCAAAUGCUCCACUACAAGAUGGACCUGCGUUGUAUUAGCUAGUAGGUGAGGUAACGGCUCACCUAGGCGACGAUACAUAGCCGACCUGAGAGGGUGAUCGGCCACACUGGGACUGAGACACGGCCCAGACUCCUACGGGAGGCAGCAGUAGGGAAUCUUCGGCAAUGGGGGCAACCCUGACCGAGCAACGCCGCGUGAGUGAAGAAGGUUUUCGGAUCGUAAAGCUCUGUUGUAAGUCAAGAACGAGUGUGAGAGUGGAAAGUUCACACUGUGACGGUAGCUUAACAGAAAGGGACGGCUAACUACGUGCCAGCAGCCGCGGUAAUACGUAGGUCCCGAGCGUUGUCCGGAUUUAUUGGGCGUAAAGCAAGCGCAGGCGGUUUGAUAAGUCUGAAGUUAAAGGCUGUGGCUCAACCAUAGUUCGCUUUGGAAACUGUCAAACUUGAGUGCAGAAGGGGAGAGUGGAAUUCCAUGUGUAGCGGUGAAAUGCGUAGAUAUAUGGAGGAACACCGGUGGCGAAAGCGGCUCUCUGGUCUGUAACUGACGCUGAGGCUCGAAAGCGUGGGGAGCGAACAGG
RNAcentral lists this ribosomal RNA (765 nucleotides) under uncultured Streptococcus sp. RNAcentral's name for it is "bacterial SSU rRNA". It matches the Rfam family "Bacterial small subunit ribosomal RNA", at positions 28 to 776 of the family's 1533-position model. The record is from RNAcentral. Lineage: Bacteria; Bacillati; Bacillota; Bacilli; Lactobacillales; Streptococcaceae.